This is a small nuclear RNA of Equus asinus (donkey), 107 nucleotides long. Lineage: Eukaryota; Metazoa; Chordata; Mammalia; Perissodactyla; Equidae. The record is from Ensembl.
CUGCUCGUUUCGCAGCACAUAUACUAAAAUCGGAAAGAUACAGAGGAGAUUAGCAGGGUCCCUGCUGCAAGGAUGACACGCAAAUUCAUGACACGUUGCUUUUCUUU